Molecule: long non-coding RNA, 299 nt
Filed under: Rosa chinensis
Lineage: Eukaryota; Viridiplantae; Streptophyta; Magnoliopsida; Rosales; Rosaceae
Description: sRNA RchiOBHm_Chr7g0207391
Source: RNAcentral
GUUUAAAGCGACGGCUAUAGUUCCUAAACUCUAUUGUUCUAGUUUGGGGGGAGAGUUCGUCUCCUGGCAAGAACCUAGAGCCUACUAUUUCAUUCCAAGAAAAAAAAAUCAAUCUUCUCUUGUGCAAAGUAAGCUAAACCUCAUCAUCCAGACUUUAAUUGGAUUAUGAAGAGGAGGAGGAGAUUGUUGGAGAAGAUGGAGAACUAAAGCCGGGUAUGCAAAGAGUUCAAUUGGCUUGUAAAGGAAUGGAGGAAACUAUUAGAGAUGAUGAAGACAUGUUUGGAACUGAUUUUGAUUGA